UUUUUUUUUUUUCAAGUGUAACUUCAUCGAUUCUUCACAAUAAUCCUCGGAGGUGGCUAUUAGCUACGUUUUGCAAGCCGAGGAAAUUAAGGCUCAAAGAGAUUAAAAGACUUGCAUAAGAUCCUGGCCAAGGGGUGGAGCUGGAUGGGAACAGGUCUGUCUGACUCUGAGCUGAGCUGCAAUCAGUCCAUCAUGGCAGAAAAGUUGAGGAUGAAAAUUUGGGAGCGGAGAGAAAAAUAUUUCACAGAGAUCCCAGGAAGUCAGAGAAGAGCCAACCAGAUGGACAGAGAGGACAAGAAAGACAGGAUCAUACACAAAUACACCUAUUUAAAAAGCCAAGAGUGUUUAAGCCCAAUGUUACAGCUGUCUACCUUUUGCUCUGUCAACCCUUCUCUCUGUUGGAGAUACAGACCAGACCUGGAAAACAACCAGCCUUCACAACCUCUGACUUCACCCCACCGCAUCUGGCUUCUCCCUCUAAGUCCUAGACUCCCAGCUUUGCUCACAUAUUGGUUCUGGA
RNAcentral lists this long non-coding RNA (520 nucleotides) under Ictidomys tridecemlineatus (thirteen-lined ground squirrel). RNAcentral's name for it is "lncRNA (ENSSTOG00000031996.1)". The record is from RNAcentral. Lineage: Eukaryota; Metazoa; Chordata; Mammalia; Rodentia; Sciuridae.